GUCGUUUGGACCUUUUGCAACUUGACGGUCCCAUCUGAAAACUGUCAAAACAAUCUAAAAAUUCAGAUGGGACCUUUGGUUGUUAAUUAAUAUUUUGUAUUUUAAAAUGUAUAAAGUAUGUUGUAAUUUGUACAAAUUUGGUGGUGCAAAUAUCAGGGAAAUAUGGAUCAGCGCAGAAUUAAAAACAAGUUACUGUAGUAGCGGCACAACCAAUUCCGGUCCAAGUUCCGGUCGGAGUAACUCGCGGUAUUAUACUUAGGCUCUCCAACUUUUUGUUGGAACAUUGGAUAUGAGCGGUUUGGAUGGAUCAAAUUAGCUGUUUCCGACGAAUUAAAAAAGUAGAGCAACGAUGGAAGAAGGGGAAACAAUUCUGGUUAGGUCAGAGGAAGUGGACUCUGGGUAGAAUAGGAGCCAGAAAAGAAGUACAGAGAACGAGUUGUAACGAGCUGCACAUCGCCAACCACGGAUCCUACGGAAGAUUCGAAAAUCAUCUACCUAAUCCUUGCACACCUCGUUGUCCGUCGGAUCACUAUCGAGAACCACAUUCACCGGAUUAUUGAAAUCCUGGCCACAUGCCCGGCACAACACAGCUGUCCGAUGUUUACGGUAUGAACGGCUGAUAGUUCCCCCAACACCUGAUGCUGUUAGUUUAUUCGGCUCCUACAUGUGUCGUCCGAGGUGUCAUCUUCCAUCUGCACCCACAUGCAGCGAAAUAUAUAUAAGAUCAACAAUCAAACCCUACCGCUUCCUAGGCAGGCCCCGCAUGCCGCAUCUUCUUAUUCUAUAACUGAAGUCAGAAGGACAGCAUUGGCUACAGUAACACUAUACAACCUUAAACCUGUGGCAUGGUGGUUAUUUGCCUCCGGCGCAUGGAAGCACGAAAUUAAAACUUGUGAAAACCAGAGGUAAUAAUAACGUUUUAUUAAAUAACUCUUUUCGAUUUAAUUUUAUCAAACUAAUGGUCAUUCCUUGGUUCCUGGCUAAUGAAUCGACUGCUUUGAGCGUGCUUACAGCGGCACACUAGGAGUUAACUUUCUGAAAUCAGUAUGGCGAAAGGCAUCUAAGGUUCGAUUUCUCCAAAUUAAGCACUUUAAUCUAAAAAAUAUUUGGUAGGCGUAGUAGCGGACACCAUCCCUCAUAACCGGUACCAAAUAGUUUUUCAUGAAAAGUUUCUAAUUUUGAGAAAAGCCGCGUUAGAUGUCUUUCGCCAUACAAAUUUCUGGCGGUUAACUCUUGCUGGCUAUUUUCGCAUAUACGAUAGCGCCUGGAAGUGGAAGCGGCGAGUAGCAAAUCAGCCACUGCCAAUAAUUCAUUUCAAUGAAAAUAAGUCAUCUAUUCUAUCGCUUGGCGACUUCGAUUCUGCUAACUAGUUGACGCCGUUCUAGCGAUGAAACCGCUUAAGUUUGGGGGAGCCUUAAAAGCGCGAAAUUCCCAGUUUAUGGAUGACAAGUUUUAUUCUUGGUGCGGUCAUAGUGCUUAGUGUAUCAUUUAUGCUUAUGUUUAAACGAGUUUUAAUAGGUUUAGAUUAGAAAAGUAAACUAAGCGAGUCGCUUCAUUCGAACUUCUAAGCAAGUUGAAAAUGAUGAAAAUAAGUUGGAACACAUCCAGCUCUUAGUAAAUCAACUAGAUUCACUUUCCCAACUUUACAUAAGAUUAUAGAUAAGGCAAGAGAAAAAAUUAAUUUGGUAAACUAUGAAUUGCUUAAUUGCCUUGACUAAAGUUAACCGUGCUUAGCUGCUUCUGUCCAAGUGAGUUGAAUGAAUGUGUUCAGACCUGUGACGUGAUUGAUCCGUCUAACCAAAGCAUUAAAGUGUUGUUGUUGAAACAUUUAGUUAUUUAUAUAAAAUUUGCUAGUUUUCAUAUGAUCCCCUGUAGUAUAAACCUAAAACUAGUCUUAGCAACUCAAGUUUGAUUAGUAUUCAAAAAAUUACCCUAAGGUCCUAUGUGACUUUGAUUGGUGAACAAAGUCCAAUUUGACAGGUCCCAACUGAUUCUUUAAAUGGCAAAAGGUUCAAAGUAACAAAAGUAGUAUAAAAACCAAGAAAAACAUGGAAAUCUAGGAAAAAACAUUGUUAUCAAUUUCUACGACUAUUAAUUUAUCUGAUAACGAUUUAAAAACUGUUUUACGCUAUUGAGAAUUUAAUUGAGAUUUGUUUUCUGCUACCAAAUAUUGCAACCGAGUUUUCUCAGAGCAUGGCAAAUGUUAGAUAGGACUAUUUGAAAUGUUUGACCUUACGAGUUAUAUACCCAGUCAGUGAAACCAUUUUGCUGAUUGUAGUACACCUAAAAUAACAAAAACAAAGAUAAAUGCAUACCAAAAUAAUUAAUUAAUUAAGGACGACUUAUUAGGUUCCGCUUAGGAUACUUUUCCAAAUAAACAUGCAGAAAAUUUUCGCCU
Armigeres subalbatus is the source of this 2398-nucleotide long non-coding RNA. RefSeq lists it as uncharacterized. The record is from RefSeq and is a predicted model, not a curated record. The transcript is spliced from 3 exons. NCBI's taxonomy places the organism in Eukaryota, Metazoa, Arthropoda, Insecta, Diptera, Culicidae.